This 158-nucleotide small nucleolar RNA is filed under the name Malurus cyaneus samueli. RNAcentral's name for it is "Small nucleolar RNA SNORD97 (ENSMCSG00000007092.1)". It matches the Rfam family "Small nucleolar RNA SNORD97". Lineage: Eukaryota; Metazoa; Chordata; Aves; Passeriformes; Maluridae. The record is from Rfam by way of RNAcentral.
UUGCCCAAUGAUUAUAGCAAGACGCGUUAUUAUGAGGACUAAUGCUGGAACUCUUUCUCCUCCUCCUUCUUCUCCUUCUUUGUCCCUUCCUCUUUCACCCCGCACGCUUUCCUCAGGGUAUCCAGCGUCCUAUGAGCAAGACUGAAAUAUGAGGGCAA